CGCAAGUAACCGAACAGAGCAGUUCAGCAGCUAUGUCCCUUCCUAUUGAAGAUAUACAAGAAAAUCAGCUCCCAAUAAUGGAGAACUUGGAGGAACAGGAAAACAAGGAAAUAGAGAAGACUGAGAAGAGACUCACCUACUUGAGGAAUUAUUCACUUCUUGAGAAGUUUGAUGAUUUAUACGAUGACCUUCAACUAGAGAUCUCUGAG
Molecule: non-coding RNA, 209 nt
Organism: Vigna umbellata (rice bean)
Lineage: Eukaryota; Viridiplantae; Streptophyta; Magnoliopsida; Fabales; Fabaceae
Source: RefSeq, a predicted model, not a curated record